RNAcentral lists this unclassified non-coding RNA (73 nucleotides) under Escherichia coli ATCC 8739. RNAcentral describes it as "SgrS sugar transport-related sRNA as predicted by Rfam". It matches the Rfam family "SgrS RNA", at positions 158 to 230 of the family's 232-position model. Rfam says of the family: In sugar transport-related sRNA (SgrS) is induced under conditions of glucose phosphate stress in E.coli. This small RNA acts to negatively regulate the translation and stability of the ptsG mRNA, which encodes the major glucose transporter in E. coli. Lineage: Bacteria; Pseudomonadati; Pseudomonadota; Gammaproteobacteria; Enterobacterales; Enterobacteriaceae. The record is from RNAcentral.
ACUUGCCUGCAUCAUGUGUGACUGAGUAUUGGUGUAAAAUCACCCGCCAGCAGAUUAUACCUGCUGGUUUUUU